Long non-coding RNA from Lynx canadensis (Canada lynx), 115 nucleotides. RefSeq lists it as uncharacterized. Lineage: Eukaryota; Metazoa; Chordata; Mammalia; Carnivora; Felidae. The transcript has 3 exons. The record is from RefSeq and is a predicted model, not a curated record.
CACCCCGCAUGCUGUUCAUUGGAGGCUUCUUCCGAGCAAGAGAAACCUUAAGUUUGCUCCCUUGAAAAUCUUUCCCUGGAAUAAGAGAACAGAAUACCACACGGCUGAGCUCCAG